AACUUAGUUGGUAAAGCACAAAGCUCUUAACCUUGUGGACGUGGGUUCAAGCCCCAU
This is a non-coding RNA of Triticum aestivum (bread wheat), 57 nucleotides long. The record is from Rfam. NCBI's taxonomy places the organism in Eukaryota, Viridiplantae, Streptophyta, Magnoliopsida, Poales, Poaceae.